ACAGAGAGAUUCAACGCGAUGGGAUGCGGUGAGAAUGCCACUGUGGCAGUCUUCAAGGAUUCCGUCUACAGUUGAAAAAAAUGUAUGCUCAUUAUCAAAUAACAUCGUUUUUUAUUAUGAGCUUUAAUCCUGCCUCUUUGCAGGAAUGGAAAUGAUUCGUUCCUACAAGAAUCAGCCAUCGGAGAAUCCGCAAAGAACAUUUCAAACGGAGAUCCACUGGCUGAUCCUCCUGACUAUCAUUAUGCCUUGAGUUCAUUUAGCCAUCAUUUAUCGUUUCCAGCGAAGAACAGUCAAAAUAAAUACCUCCCUUCCUGCCUGAAAUGUAAUAAAAGCCAAAUUUGUGGCA
Oncorhynchus kisutch (coho salmon) is the source of this 346-nucleotide long non-coding RNA. RefSeq lists it as uncharacterized. The transcript is spliced from 3 exons. The record is from RefSeq and is a predicted model, not a curated record. Lineage: Eukaryota; Metazoa; Chordata; Actinopteri; Salmoniformes; Salmonidae.